RNAcentral lists this ribosomal RNA (964 nucleotides) under Microbacterium profundi. RNAcentral's name for it is "bacterial SSU rRNA". It matches the Rfam family "Bacterial small subunit ribosomal RNA", at positions 36 to 1009 of the family's 1533-position model. Lineage: Bacteria; Bacillati; Actinomycetota; Actinomycetes; Micrococcales; Microbacteriaceae. The record is from RNAcentral.
CUGGCGGCGUGCUUAACACAUGCAAGUCGAACGGUGAAGCCCCGCUUGCUGGGUGGAUCAGUGGCGAACGGGUGAGUAACACGUGAGCAACCUGCCCCUGACUCUGGGAUAAGCGCUGGAAACGGCGUCUAAUACUGGAUACGAGACGUGAUCGCAUGGUCAACGUUUGGAAAGAUUUUUCGGUUGGGGAUGGGCUCGCGGCCUAUCAGCUUGUUGGUGAGGUAAUGGCUCACCAAGGCGUCGACGGGUAGCCGGCCUGAGAGGGUGACCGGCCACACUGGGACUGAGACACGGCCCAGACUCCUACGGGAGGCAGCAGUGGGGAAUAUUGCACAAUGGGCGCAAGCCUGAUGCAGCAACGCCGCGUGAGGGAUGACGGCCUUCGGGUUGUAAACCUCUUUUAGCAGGGAAGAAGCGAGAGUGACGGUACCUGCAGAAAAAGCACCGGCUAACUACGUGCCAGCAGCCGCGGUAAUACGUAGGGUGCAAGCGUUAUCCGGAAUUAUUGGGCGUAAAGAGCUCGUAGGCGGUUUGUCGCGUCUGCUGUGAAAUCUGGGGGCUCAACCCCCAGCCUGCAGUGGGUACGGGCAGACUAGAGUGCGGUAGGGGAGAUUGGAAUUCCUGGUGUAGCGGUGGAAUGCGCAGAUAUCAGGAGGAACACCGAUGGCGAAGGCAGAUCUCUGGGCCGUAACUGACGCUGAGGAGCGAAAGGGUGGGGAGCAAACAGGCUUAGAUACCCUGGUAGUCCACCCCGUAAACGUUGGGAACUAGUUGUGGGGUCCAUUCCACGGAUUCCGUGACGCAGCUAACGCAUUAAGUUCCCCGCCUGGGGAGUACGGCCGCAAGGCUAAAACUCAAAGGAAUUGACGGGGACCCGCACAAGCGGCGGAGCAUGCGGAUUAAUUCGAUGCAACGCGAAGAACCUUACCAAGGCUUGACAUAUACGAGAACGGGCCAGAAAUGG